RNAcentral lists this transfer RNA (63 nucleotides) under Lasiopodomys mandarinus (Mandarin vole). RNAcentral's name for it is "tRNA-Tyr". It matches the Rfam family "tRNA". From Rfam's summary of the family: Transfer RNA (tRNA) molecules are approximately 80 nucleotides in length. Their secondary structure includes four short double-helical elements and three loops (D, anti-codon, and T loops). Lineage: Eukaryota; Metazoa; Chordata; Mammalia; Rodentia; Cricetidae. The record is from RNAcentral.
AAAAUGGCUGAGUAAGCAUUAGACUGUAAAUUUAAGCACAGAGGAUGAUGCCUCUUUUUACCA